GACGAACGCUGGCGGCGUGCUUAACACAUGCAAGUCGAACGAAGUGGCGAACGGGUGAGUAACGCGUAAUCAACCUGCCCUUCAGAGGGGGACAACAGUUGGAAACGACUGCUAAUACCGCAUACUGAAGGAGGGGAUUGCGUCUGAUUAGCUAGUUGGAGGGGUAACGGCCCACCAAGGCGAUGAUCAGUAGCCGGUCUGAGAGGAUGAAAGGCCACAUUGGGACUGGGACACCGGCCUUACUGCUACGGGAGGCAGGAGUGGGGAAUAUUGGACAAUGGACCAAAGUCUGAUCCAGCAAUUCUGUGUGCACGAUGAAUUUUUUCGGAAUGUAAAGUGCUUUCAGUUGGGAAGCGGUACCAACAGAAGAAGUGACGGCUAAUUCCGUGCCAGCAGCCGCGGUAAUAC
This 408-nucleotide ribosomal RNA is filed under the name uncultured bacterium. RNAcentral describes it as "partial 16S ribosomal RNA". It matches the Rfam family "Bacterial small subunit ribosomal RNA", at positions 28 to 526 of the family's 1533-position model. The record is from RNAcentral.